RNAcentral lists this ribosomal RNA (895 nucleotides) under uncultured bacterium. RNAcentral's name for it is "bacterial SSU rRNA". It matches the Rfam family "Bacterial small subunit ribosomal RNA", at positions 8 to 916 of the family's 1533-position model. The record is from RNAcentral.
AGAGUUUGAUCCUGGCUCAGGACGAACGCUGGCGGCGUGCUUAACACAUGCAAGUCGAACGGUAAGGCCCCUUCGGGGGUACACGAGUGGCGAACGGGUGAGUAACACGUGAGCAACCUGCCCUUGACUCUGGAAUAACAGCUGGAAACAGCUGCUAAUACCGGAUACGACCCCUUGCGACAUCGCAGGAGGUGGAAAGCUCCGACGGUCAAGGAUGGGCUCGCGGCCUAUCAGCUAGUUGGUGAGGUAACGGCUCACCAAGGCUUCGACGGGUAGCCGGCCUGAGAGGGCGACCGGCCACACUGGGACUGAGAUACGGCCCAGACUCCUACGGGAGGCAGCAGUGGGGAAUAUUGCACAAUGGGCGAAAGCCUGAUGCAGCAACGCCGCGUGCGGGAUGACGGCCUUCGGGUUGUAAACCGCUUUCAGUUCCGACGAAGCGCAAGUGACGGUAGGAACAGAAGAAGGACCGGCCAACUACGUGCCAGCAGCCGCGGUGAUACGUAGGGUCCGAGCGUUGUCCGGAAUUAUUGGGCGUAAAGGGCUUGUAGGCGGUUCGUCACGUCGGAAGUGAAAACUCAGGGCUUAACCCUGAGCCUGCUUCCGAUACGGGCAAACUAGAGGGAUGCAGGGGAGAACGGAAUUCCUGGUGGAGCGGUGGAAUGCGCAGAUAUCAGGAGGAACACCGGUGGCGAAGGCGGUUCUCUGGGCAUUUCCUGACGCUGAGAAGCGAAAGCGUGGGGAGCAAACAGGCUUAGAUACCCUGGUAGUCCACGCCGUAAACGGUGGGCACUAGGUGUGGGGGACAUUCCACGUUCUCCGUGCCGAAGCUAACGCAUUAAGUGCCCCGCCUGGGGAGUACGGCCGCAAGGCUAAAACUCAAAGGAAUUGACGG